CAGGGUGUAGUUCAUCGGUAGAACGUUCCCUUGGGGUGGGAAAGGUAGCUGGUUCAAUUCCAGUCACCCUGA
RNAcentral lists this transfer RNA (72 nucleotides) under Candidatus Daviesbacteria bacterium. RNAcentral describes it as "tRNA-Pro". It matches the Rfam family "tRNA". From Rfam's summary of the family: Transfer RNA (tRNA) molecules are approximately 80 nucleotides in length. Their secondary structure includes four short double-helical elements and three loops (D, anti-codon, and T loops). Lineage: Bacteria; Candidatus Daviesiibacteriota. The record is from RNAcentral.